GACGAACGCUGGCGGCGUGCUUAACACAUGCAAGUCGAACGGAAAGGCCCUGCUUUUGUGGGGUGCUCGAGUGGCGAACGGGUGAGUAACACGUGAGUAACCUGCCCUUGACUUUGGGAUAACUUCAGGAAACUGGGGCUAAUACCGGAUAGGAGCUCCUGCUGCAUGGUGGGGGUUGGAAAGUUUCGGCGGUUGGGGAUGGACUCGCGGCUUAUCAGCUUGUUGGUGGGGUAGUGGCUUACCAAGGCUUUGACGGGUAGCCGGCCUGAGAGGGUGACCGGCCACAUUGGGACUGAGAUACGGCCCAGACUCCUACGGGAGGCAGCGGUGGGGAAUAUGGCACAAGGGGCGGAAGCCUGAGGCAGCAACGCCGCGUGCGGGAUGACGGCCUUCGGGUGGUAAACCGCUUUCGCCUGUGACGAAGCGUGAGUGACGGUAAUGGGUAAAGAAGCACCGGCUAACUACGU
RNAcentral lists this ribosomal RNA (467 nucleotides) under uncultured bacterium. Its description in RNAcentral is "partial 16S ribosomal RNA". It matches the Rfam family "Bacterial small subunit ribosomal RNA", at positions 28 to 506 of the family's 1533-position model. The record is from RNAcentral.